Molecule: ribosomal RNA, 447 nt
Filed under: uncultured bacterium
Lineage: Bacteria
Description: SSU rRNA
Rfam family: Bacterial small subunit ribosomal RNA
Source: RNAcentral
AGAGCGAACGCUGGCGGCAGGCUUAACACAUGCAAGUCGAGCGGAUGUAGCAAUGCAUCAGCGGCAGACGGGAGAGGAACACGUGGGAACGCGCCCUUUGGUUCGGAAUAACUCAGGGAAACUUGAGCUAAUACCGGAUAAGCCCUUACGGGGAAAGAUUUAUCGCCAAAGGAACGGCCCGCGUCCGAUUAGCUAGUUGGUGAGGUAAUGGCUCACCAAGGCGACGAUCGGUAGCUGGUCUGAGAGGAUGACCAGCCUCACUGGGACUGAGACACGGCCCAGACUCCUACGGGAGGCAGCAGUGGGGAAUUUUGCGCAAUGGGGGAAACCCUGACGCAGCAACGCCGCGUGGAGGAUGAAGCCCCUUGGGGUGUAAACUCCUUUCGACCAAGACGAUAAUGACGGUACUGGUGGAAGAGCACCGGCUAACUCUGCGCCAGCAGCCGC